RNAcentral lists this ribosomal RNA (253 nucleotides) under uncultured bacterium. RNAcentral describes it as "partial 16S ribosomal RNA". It matches the Rfam family "Bacterial small subunit ribosomal RNA", at positions 524 to 776 of the family's 1533-position model. The record is from RNAcentral.
UACGUAGGUGACAAGCGUUGUCCGGAUUUACUGGGCGUAAAGAGCGCGCAGGCGGUCGUUCAAGUCGAGUGUGAAAGCCCCCGGCUCAACUGGGGAGGGUCACUCGAUACUGAUCGACUCGAAGGCAGGAGAGGGAAGUGGAAUUCCCGGUGUAGUGGUGAAAUGCGUAGAUAUCGGGAGGAACACCAGUGGCGAAGGCGGCGAUCUGGGAAGAUACUGACGCUGAGGUGCGAAAGCGUGGGGAGCAAACAGG